RNAcentral lists this ribosomal RNA (1413 nucleotides) under Triticum aestivum (bread wheat). RNAcentral's name for it is "partial small subunit ribosomal RNA". Lineage: Eukaryota; Viridiplantae; Streptophyta; Magnoliopsida; Poales; Poaceae. The record is from RNAcentral.
AUGGAGGAGACAGGGACCGAGCGGCUGGCGCCGCGGCCGCACGUCGUCCUGCUCGCCAGCCCCGGCGCCGGCCACCUCAUCCCGCUGGCCGAGCUGGCGCGGCGGCUCGUCGACCACCACGGCUUCGCGGCCACGCUCGUCACCUUCACCGACCUCUCCUCCCCGGAUGCCCUCUCCGGCGUCCCCGCCACCGUCGCCACCGCCGCGCUCCCGUCCGUCCCGCUCGACGACCUCCCCGCCGGCACUCCUAUGGAGACCGUGCUCUUCGAGCUCGUCCACCGUUCGCUCCCGAGCCUCCGCGCCCUCCUCCGCUCCGUCGGCGCCCCCCUCGCCGCGCUGGUGCCCGACUUCUUCUGCUCCUCGGCGCUGCCGCUCGCCGCCGAGCUCGGCGUCCCGGGGUACGUCUUCGUGCCCAGCAACCUCACCACCAUCGCGCUCAUGCGCGCCACGGUGGAGCUCCACGACGGCGUUCCACCCGGCGAGUACCGCGACCUCCCUGACCCUCUGGAGCUCCCCGGUGGCGUGUCGCUGCGCCGCACCGACCUGCCGCGCUCGUUCCAGAGCAGCGGCAAGCCGGUCUACGCGCACCUGAUGGAGGAGGGCCGGCGGUACCUCCGCGCGGACGGCUUACUUGUGAACACCUUCUACGAGUUGGAGCCCGCCACCGUGGAAGAGUUCAAGCAGGCGGCGGAGCGAGCCGCGUUGCCGCCCGUGUUCCCCGUGGGUCCGUUCGUCCGGCCAAGCACAACCACCGACGAAGCCGCCGGCGCGUCCGCGUGCAUAGAGUGGCUAGAUCGCCAGCCGACUGGGUCUGUUGUGUACGUCUCCUUCGGGAGCGGCGGGUCGCUGACCGUGGAGCAGACGGCAGAGCUCGCCGCCGGGCUGGAGGCGAGCGGCCACAGGUUCCUUUGGGUCGUGAGGAUGCCGAAUCUGGACGGCCAUGACCAUGAAGACAAGCAAAACCCGUUGGCGUGGCUCCCGGAGAGCUUCCUGGAGAGGACGGCGGACAAGGGGCUGGCCGUGGCGGCGUGGGCGCCUCAGGUGCGCGUGCUGUCCCACCCGGCGACGGCGGUGUUCGUGUCGCACUGCGGCUGGAACUCGGCGCUGGAGAGCGUGGCGGCCGGCGUGCCGAUGGUGGCGUGGCCGCUGUACGCGGAGCAGCGGAUGAACGCCGUGGUCCUGGAAGGGAGCGUCGGGGUGGCGCUGCGCCCGCGGGCGCGGGAGCGCGGCGAGAUCGCGGCCGUGGUGAGGGAGCUGAUGGAGGGGGCGGACAAGGGGCGCGCCGUGCGGCGGCAGGCCGGGGACCUGCAGCAGGCGGCGGCGCGCGCGUGGUCGCCCGAGGGGUCGUCGCGCCGGGCGCUGGAGCAGGCCGCGGCCACGUGGAAGAAGGUGACGCUCGCCAAGGUGAAGUAA